RNAcentral lists this transfer RNA (73 nucleotides) under seawater metagenome. RNAcentral's name for it is "tRNA-Gly". It matches the Rfam family "tRNA". Rfam says of the family: Transfer RNA (tRNA) molecules are approximately 80 nucleotides in length. Their secondary structure includes four short double-helical elements and three loops (D, anti-codon, and T loops). The record is from RNAcentral.
GCGGUUGUAACUCAGUUGGUAGAGCACUACCUUGCCAAGGUAGGAGUCGUGAGUUCGAAUCUCAUCAAUCGCU